RNAcentral lists this long non-coding RNA (567 nucleotides) under Struthio camelus australis. RNAcentral describes it as "lncRNA (ENSSCUG00000006188.1)". Lineage: Eukaryota; Metazoa; Chordata; Aves; Struthioniformes; Struthionidae. The record is from RNAcentral.
UUUUAAGUGUUCUGCUCUAUCUCUGAUUGGCCUUCUAAGGGUUUUCUUUUUCAGCAGGUAGGUCCCUUUUACAAAGCCCAUUAAAUCUUCCUAAUUUCAAGCAGUGUUUAAGCUGUCUUCUAAGAAAGGUGCAAAGGAAGCAGAGUCUUAAGAAUUGUGAGGUUUUUUCUGCUAACUUAAAGUGUUGACCUUCCGCUAUUGGUAGGAUGCCCCCCCAUUUUUUCCUGUGUCCAUUCUGAAUUAAUUAUUCAGUACUGUCGGGUUCAUUACUACAGUUAUUAUUUGUCUUUCAGAUAGUCAGUCUUGGAAAAGGCAAUCUGAGACCAUUACCCCGCUCUGCCGUAUUACAAGGACUGGAGUUCCUGCUGGGACAGCCUCAGUCCCAGCCACGAUGAACAUAGAGAACACAGUUUGGAUAUCAUAGAUGCUCUGCAUUGAGUGGAUAACUGGGUAAUGUGAUCAAGAAGGUAUUCUGUGGCUAUAUAUGCAAACUAGACUGCUAGCCAAGAGUACUCCUCAGCUUUUGAAAGCUAGGUAUCCACAGAUAAUGUUUCAGAAGUGCCAAAG